Molecule: ribosomal RNA, 356 nt
Filed under: uncultured bacterium
Lineage: Bacteria
Description: bacterial SSU rRNA
Rfam family: Bacterial small subunit ribosomal RNA
Source: RNAcentral
AGAGUUUGAUCAUGGCUCAGGAUGAACGCUAGCUACAGGCUUAACACAUGCAAGUCGAGGGGAAACGACAUCGAAAGCUUGCUUUUGAUGGGCGUCGACCGGCGCACGGGUGAGUAGCGCGUANCCAACCUGCCCACCACUUGGGGAUAACCUUGCGAAAGUAAGACUAAUACCCAAUGAUAUCUCUAGAAGACAUCUGAAAGAGAUUAAAGAUUUAUCGGUGAUGGAUGGGGAUGCGUCUGAUUAGCUUGUUGGCGGGGUAACGGCCCACCAAGGCGACGAUCAGUAGGGGUUCUGAGAGGAAGGUCCCCCACAUUGGAACUGAGACACGGUCCAAACUCCUACGGGAGGCAGCA